AAUAUGAUCAUUUUUUAUGGCAACCAUCUCCAACUUUGGCAAGGUGCCUUGGGUGAGAUUCUUAUUUAGGGCUUUGUCUUGAAUAUCUUUUAUUUUUUUCCAAAAAAAUCUGAUAAAAUUGGUUGCUCCAGUCUAGGAUUCUAUCGAUUUUUUUUUAAAAUUUUGAUGCUAUAAUUCUUGAGAAUUGUGGCACUAGUUUCACGGAGGAAUUUGGAUUUUUUUUUUCUGAAAAAUGCUUCUUUUGUUUUUAGUUUUCUUUUUCUAUAAUUAUAUGAAGCUCUAGGAAUUCUGGUAAAAUUUAUUGCUCCGUUCCCCUUUUCUGACAAUUCUUAUUGAGGUAAGGGCUUGAGCUUGCAUGAUUGUUUUUGUAUCAAUUGAUUGAUAGAUUAAGAAACUUCAAUAGUUUUUCUGUAAAUUAUCAAUCAAUUGGCGUCCUUAGAGUUUUAUUUUGUCUUUCUAUUGAGAAAUUUGUUGUUAAAUGUAUAUAGUUGUUAUUGAUUUCUCUGAGCGAUAUGAAUACUGAAUGUUGGGAUUUCUUGUCUAGAGAAUUUAAAUUUUAGAAUUUAUGUUUUGGGAUUGGGGUAAAGGUUAAGCUGUUAAGACGUUUGCAAGUUGUUUAGAAAUGUUUUCUGCUUGAACUGAACAAUAUACUUGAUUCUAUUUUGUUUUUUCACACAGAUCUAGAUUUUCACUUCUCAAUUUGGAGAGUCUAGGCUAUUACUCAUGCUUGAAUCUUUUAGUAUGACUGCUCGAGUUGCUAAGGAUAAGAUGUUUUCCAUAGUGGUAGUUGUAACAUUAAUUGGAAGGCCACCUUGCUACCUAUUGUUUUGUUCUGUGGCAUCCAAUAUUUAGAUAUAAUUUGAGUUUGCGAUUCUUUCCUUUAUUGUAGGAAUUCUUGUUCAAUUUGCUGAUUGGAGUAAUUCAAUGUUGAGUUUAGUAAUUGAAGCUUUACACUUGUUAUAGUCUUUGCAACCUAGUAUGUAUGCUUUUCCCUCUUCUAUUGUUUGCAAGUAUAUAGUGUCUAAUUUUAACUAACCAAAGUUGGCCUACAUCGCGAGACAAAACUACCUUAAGCACUCUUGUAUGGAGCCAAGAGAAGCUGAAAUCAUUAUUGGCAGAGAAGAAUGGAAGGCAUAAACGGGUUGCCCUUUUGUUUUUUCUCCUUUGCUUGUGCAUCUUGAUAGCUGAACAAGGGGACGUGCAAUGGCUGUAUUUGCUUUUCUUCUUUCUUUGUUGUUCCCUCUUGGUGUGUUUGUGAGUUUUGGUUUGGUCUGAACUCUUUAAGAUAUUUAAGUUUUUAACUGGUACUAGUUGAUUUAGAUGGUGAAAUAUCUCAUUUCUUAACUGGUACUAGUAAUAUGGUAUACUUGAUCCAUUGAAUGCCAUUAGCUUGUUGCUUUGGAUGGUAAAAUCUUAUUGGAACAAAUCCUGAAUUUGUUGAAUAAGUGUCUUGCAGUACUAUGUAGAACAAUCGAAGUCAUGAUGAGUCCAUCAAGAUGUAGGACUGACUUCAUGAAUCAGCAGGCGAGGUUCUCUAUUGGUGAUGACUAUUGAAAUUGAUUAAUUUUUUGAAGAUGGGCAAGAAGGGAGAGAAACAGUUCCUAUGGAGCGUUUGAUGCUUGAGAUUCUUGCCAAUGAGGUGAAACAUGGGAAUAGGCCUAACAAUAGCUUUGAAUCAAGUUCAUUUACACGUGUGGUAGACGCCAUGAAAGAUAAGUUUGGGGUUACGUGCUCAGCAGAACAUGUGGAAAAUAGCUGAUCAGUGCUUGAGUUGAGAUCUAUUCUACUUUUGAAUCUGUAUAUCUAGAGAUUGAUUGAAGAUCGGGGGAUCAACUGUCUUCUUGGCUUGUAAUGUAUAUAUUGCCAUUUCUGCAAUGUAGCAGCAGCAAUUGCUACUACACUUGAUGAUUUAUUGCCG
Molecule: long non-coding RNA, 1918 nt
Filed under: Coffea arabica (coffee)
Lineage: Eukaryota; Viridiplantae; Streptophyta; Magnoliopsida; Gentianales; Rubiaceae
Description: long non-coding RNA (CARA_LNC003531)
Source: RNAcentral